Molecule: ribosomal RNA, 254 nt
Filed under: uncultured bacterium
Lineage: Bacteria
Description: partial 16S ribosomal RNA
Rfam family: Bacterial small subunit ribosomal RNA
Source: RNAcentral
UACGUAGGGUGCAAGCGUUGUCCGGAAUUAUUGGGCGUAAAGAGCUCGUAGGCGGUUCGUCGCGUCGGCUGUGAAAACCUGAGGCUCAACCUCAGGCCUGCAGUCGAUACGGGCGGACUUGAGUACUGCAGGGAGACUGGAAGUUCCUGGUGUAGCGGUGAAAUGCGCAGAUAGUCAGGAGGAACACCGGUGGCGAAGGCGGCCCGCUGGGCCAGCACUGACGCUGGAGGCGCGAAAGCUCGGGAGCGAACGGG